This 491-nucleotide ribosomal RNA is filed under the name uncultured bacterium. RNAcentral describes it as "partial 16S ribosomal RNA". It matches the Rfam family "Bacterial small subunit ribosomal RNA", at positions 29 to 507 of the family's 1533-position model. The record is from RNAcentral.
AGUGAACGCUGGCGGUAGGCCUAACACAUGCAAGUCGAACGGCAGCACAGUAAGAGCUUGCUCUUACGGGUGGCGAGUGGCGGACGGGUGAGGAAUACAUCGGAAUCUACUUUUUCGUGGGGGAUAACGUAGGGAAACUUACGCUAAUACCGCAUACGACCUACGGGUGAAAGCAGGGGAUCUUCGGACCUUGCGCGAUUGAAUGAGCCGAUGUCGGAUUAGCUAGUUGGCGGGGUAAAGGCCCACCAAGGCGACGAUCCGUAGCUGGUCUGAGAGGAUGAUCAGCCACACUGGAACUGAGACACGGUCCAGACUCCGACGGGAGGCAGAAGUGGGGAAUAUUGACAAUGGGCGCAAGCCUGAUCCAGCCAUACCGCGUGGGUGAAGAAGGCCUUCGGGUUGUAAAGCCCUUUUGUUGGGAAAGAAAAGCAGCAGGUUAAUACCCCGCUGUUCUGACGGUACCCAAAGAAUAAGCACCGGCUAACUUCGUG